CCUACGGGAGGCAGCAGUGAGGAAUAUUGGUCAAUGGACGAGAGUCUGAACCAGCCAAGUAGCGUGAAGGAUGACUGCCCUAUGGGUUGUAAACCUCUUUUGUCGGGGAGCAAAGCGAACCACGUGUGGUUCAUUGAGAGUACCCGAAGAAAAAGCAUCGGCAAACUCCGUGCCAGCAGCCGCGGUAAUACUGAGGAUGCGAGGGUUAUCCGGAUUUAUAGGGUUUAAAGGGUGCGCAGGCGGAGGUGCAAGUCAGCGGUAAAAUUGCGGGGCUCAACCCCGUACUGCAGUUGAAACUGCAUCCCUUGAGUGCGCGAGAAGUAUGCGGAAUGCGUGGUGUAGCGGUGAAAUGCAUAGAUAUCACGCAGAACUCCGAUUGCGAAGGCAGCAUACCGGCGCGCAACUGACGCUCAUGCACGAAAGCGUGGGUAUCGAACAGGAUUAGAUACCCGUGUAGUC
RNAcentral lists this ribosomal RNA (459 nucleotides) under uncultured bacterium. RNAcentral's name for it is "partial 16S ribosomal RNA". It matches the Rfam family "Bacterial small subunit ribosomal RNA", at positions 338 to 795 of the family's 1533-position model. The record is from RNAcentral.